Molecule: ribosomal RNA, 263 nt
Filed under: uncultured delta proteobacterium
Lineage: Bacteria; Deltaproteobacteria
Description: partial 16S ribosomal RNA
Rfam family: Bacterial small subunit ribosomal RNA
Source: RNAcentral
GAGUUUGAUCGUGGCUCAGGAUGAACGCUGGCGGCGUGCCUAACACAUGCAAGUCGAACGGUGGCAGCAAUGUCACAGGUGGCGCACGGGUGAGGAACACGUAGCUAACCGUGCCCUCAAGUACGGGAUAACGGUUCGAAAGGGCUGCUAAGUACCGUAUAAGGACUCACGUGGAGUAAGUACAUGUGAGGAAAAGGUUUACUGGCUUGGGGAGGGGGCUGCGGCCCAUCAGGUAGUUGGUGAGGUAACGGCUCACCAAGCCG